Molecule: transfer RNA, 85 nt
Filed under: Candidatus Atribacteria bacterium
Lineage: Bacteria; Pseudomonadati; Atribacterota; Atribacteria
Also listed under: 1 other name
Description: tRNA-Leu
Rfam family: tRNA
About the family: Transfer RNA (tRNA) molecules are approximately 80 nucleotides in length.
Source: RNAcentral
GCCGGGAUGGCGGAAUUGGCAGACGCAAGGGACUUAAAAUCCUUUGAAGGGUAACUUCGUGCGGGUUCGAGUCCCGCUCCCGGCA